Molecule: unclassified non-coding RNA, 196 nt
Filed under: uncultured Sebacinales
Lineage: Eukaryota; Fungi; Basidiomycota; Agaricomycetes; Sebacinales
Description: sequence contains ITS2
Source: RNAcentral
UACUCUCACACUCUCUCUCAUUAGAGAGAGAGCGGUGGACUUGGGUGUUGCCUGGUAAACUUUACUGUCAGGCUCAUCUUAAAUGCGUUAGUGCAACUGCUAGUUAGACAUAGUACGGCGUGAUAAAUAAACCCUCGCUGUUUUAGGCCUGAUUGGGAGCUCUGUGCUUCAAACCGUCUUUGGACAAUGUCUGAUA